GAGAAAAUGUUUUUGUUUUUUUUUAAUGGAAGAAAAGUGGAAUUUUGGGGGAAAAUAUGUGUAAUAUAACUUAAAAAAGUAGUAUUUUUAGGGUGAAAAUAGGGGACUUUAGGGUGAAAAAAAGGCAUUUUAGAGGCUGUGGUGGGCUAGACAAAAUCCACCCAGCAAGAUGAAGAAAUCCCCAGCUGGCAGCUGGUGUUCCUGCUUCAGCCUGGGAAAGCCAUCCUCCGUAGCCACACAUGAACUGCAGCACAAUGCCAGGGAGCCCUCAGAAACAGAGGUUAUCGUGGUCCUGGCAGGUAAGGGUGCACAUCCAGCUUUUAAAACACUGCUUGUCAGCGCCAUCGAAUUCAUGCUUUCAGUAGGCUGUACCUCCUUCUUGCGUUCAAGCCCGUGCCUAACAUCUUCAGUUCGGCCCUGUCUUUCUUUCCCCGGUGAGUCUCUGGUGAAGUCAUGAUCUGGACCUGCACAAGGAUCAUUUUCAAGACAGUGGCACUGUUGCUAGAAGCCUGUUUGCUUCUUCUCACCACUACUACAUAGCCAAAUGUCAACAACCACUCUCGUACUUCAGCCUGUCACUGUCUUGGUUUUGUUUCCCUAGGGGGACGAGGAGACAGCAGGAUUCUUUGCUCAGCUAAAAGUGCAGGCUUAAUUAACAGCUAUUGCUAACUCCUUUCUUUGUUGCUGUUGCUGCUGUUGUUGUUGUGGUUUAGAGCUAGCUGGGAAGCAUCUUGCUUGUUGCUUGAAGCCUCCGUGACAGACAGCACCAAGCCUCGGCCUCCUUGGACAGUGAAAGUUUGACGCUAACCUCUGUGUAUCUACUCCUUCCUAGGUGAAUUGAGCCUUUGUCCACCCAGAAGAGCCGCAGCAAAUAGCGGUGAUGAUCUGUGUGCUUCCAUCAGCGGUGAGCUUCUAGGAAGCACGAACUGCUGCAGUUCCAGUGACAGCCUUCCAUGCGAUAUCAGUGAUGGACAGAAGGAGCUCAUUCAAGUUGUAGCCCUCAUUUCUCCCGGCUGUGUAGAAGACGCUGACCUGAGCCUGCCCGACACAGCAGUUACCGACCUGGACUGUGACGGGGCGUCACCGCAGUGCAGCCCCACCCAAGCACAGCCCGUGUGCCCCGACAGCAGUACCUCCAUGCAGGAU
Molecule: long non-coding RNA, 1146 nt
Filed under: Gallus gallus (chicken)
Lineage: Eukaryota; Metazoa; Chordata; Aves; Galliformes; Phasianidae
Description: lncRNA (ENSGALG00010011507.1)
Source: RNAcentral